This 316-nucleotide signal recognition particle RNA is filed under the name Methanosarcinales archaeon. RNAcentral's name for it is "signal recognition particle sRNA". It matches the Rfam family "Archaeal signal recognition particle RNA". Lineage: Archaea; Methanobacteriati; Methanobacteriota; Methanomicrobia; Methanosarcinales. The record is from RNAcentral.
UUGCGGACUAGUCCGGGUAAUUCGGCGUUACCUAUAACCCGAAACCGCCGAUAUGCGGGGGACGAAGCCAAUGGAAGACAUUGCAAACGCUAUUUAAGUCCGGAUUCUCAACAAUGAAUCCCCGUCCUGCAGGGAUGACGUUGGUGGCGGAGUCUGCUGGAGGGCAGGCUUACCAUCUUUGUUGCGGGAAACGGUUCAGGCCCGGAAGGGAGCAGACAUUACCGCAGACGUUUCAUCGCUUGGAGGGUUGCGGAGAUGAGGCGAGUUUCCGAUCAGCUUGGUGGCAGGCGGGUGGCAACCAUUGGCGUGCCCGCAA